This 329-nucleotide ribosomal RNA is filed under the name uncultured Bacteroidota bacterium. RNAcentral's name for it is "bacterial SSU rRNA". It matches the Rfam family "Bacterial small subunit ribosomal RNA", at positions 28 to 351 of the family's 1533-position model. The record is from RNAcentral. Lineage: Bacteria; Pseudomonadati; Bacteroidota.
GAUGAACGCUAGCGGGAGGCUUAACACAUGCAAGUCGAGGGGCAGCACGAGAUAGCAAUAUUUUGGUGGCGACCGGCGCACGGGUGAGUAACGCGUAUGCAACCUACCCUGUACAGGGGGGAUAACCCGGAGAAAUUCGGACUAAUACCCCAUAAAGAUAUGAAGAGGCAUCUUUUUAUAUUUAAAGUUCCGGCGGUACGGGAUGGGCAUGCGUAACAUUAGCUAGUUGGCAGGGUAACGGCCUACCAAGGCUACGAUGUUUAGGGGUCCUGAGAGGGUGAUCCCCCACACUGGUACUGAGACACGGACCAGACUCCUACGGGAGGCUG